Unclassified non-coding RNA from Pan paniscus (pygmy chimpanzee), 247 nucleotides. It matches the Rfam family "Metazoan signal recognition particle RNA". From Rfam's summary of the family: The signal recognition particle (SRP) is a universally conserved ribonucleoprotein. It is involved in the co-translational targeting of proteins to membranes. NCBI's taxonomy places the organism in Eukaryota, Metazoa, Chordata, Mammalia, Primates, Hominidae. The record is from Ensembl.
GCUGGGUGCGGUGGCUCACGCCUGUAAUCCCAGAACUUUGGGAGGCCGAGGCGGGUGGAUCACCUGAGGUCAGGAGUUCGAGACCAGCCUGACCAACAUGGUGAAACCCCCUCUCUAUUAAAAAUACAAAAAACUAGCUGGGGCCAGGCGCGGUGUAAUCGCAGUACUUUGGGAGGCCAAGCUGGGUGGAUCACUUGAGGUCAGGAGUUUAAGACUGGCCUGGCCAAAAUGGUGAAACCCUGUGUCU